GUUUGUGACAUGGUUCUUAUGAUAAAUUGGAUGAUGAUGGUCUUGCACCUCCUGUAAUCCUUAGAUUUCAGCAGGACUAAGAGAAGCUACUGCUACUUAAGUAGCAGGUUCUAAGUCUAACCUUGUAAGUUAUUAUCUUUGCUCUCUAGACGUAUGUUUUCAUGCCUACGUCUUCUGCAUAAAGCAUAUAACUUGAUGAGUCAAACAUAUUAUUCAUAUAAACUUAAGAACAGAACACUCAUCACCAAGUCUGGGAAGGGAAUGGUAUUUUAAAUGGCAUUCACAAGAACCUUUUGUUCAAUUAUCUUAGUAUUAAUCACAAGAAUCCUACUAUUAAUCAGUCUGCUCCUUAUUCUUUAAUUAUGCAUAUACUUGUGCAGGUUCAAAGUUUGUUAGUACUGAUGGCAGUACAGGCAGCAAGGUCUCAUCAUUUUCAACAAGUCUUG
RNAcentral lists this long non-coding RNA (446 nucleotides) under Rosa chinensis. Its description in RNAcentral is "sRNA RchiOBHm_Chr2g0113691". Lineage: Eukaryota; Viridiplantae; Streptophyta; Magnoliopsida; Rosales; Rosaceae. The record is from RNAcentral.